AGGGAAGAAGCGAAGGUGACGGUACCUGCAGAAGAAGCGCCGGCUAACUACGUGCCAGCAGCCGCGGUAAUACGUAGGGCGCAAGCGUUAUCCGGAAUUAUUGGGCGUAAAGAGCUCGUAGGCGGUUUGUCGCGUCUGCCGUGAAAGUCCGGGGCUCAACUCCGGAUCUGCGGUGGGUACGGGCAGGCUAGAGUGAUGUAGGGGAGACUGGAAUUCCUGGUGUAGCGGUGAAAUGCGCAGAUAUCAGGAGGAACACCGAUGGCGAAGGCAGGUCUCUGGGCAUUAACUGACGCUGAGGAGCGAAAGCAUGGGGAGCGAACAGGAUUAGAUACCCUGGUAGUCCAUGCCGUAAACGUUGGGCACUAGGUGUGGGGGACAUUCCACGUUUUCCGCGCCGUAGCUAACGCAUUAAGUGCCCCGCCUGGGGAGUACGGCCGCAAGGCUAAAACUCAAAGGAAUUGACGGGGGCCCGCACAAGCGGCGGAGCAUGCGGAUUAAUUCGAUGCAACGCGAAGAACCUUACCAAGGCUUGACAUGGACCGGACCGCCGCAGAGAUGUGGUUUCUCCUUUUGGGGCCGGUUCACAGGUGGUGCAUGGUUGUCGUCAGCUCGUGUCGUGAGAUGUUGGGUUAAGUCCCGCAACGAGCGCAACCCUCGUUCCAUGUUGCCAGCGCG
This 675-nucleotide ribosomal RNA is filed under the name uncultured Arthrobacter sp. RNAcentral describes it as "bacterial SSU rRNA". It matches the Rfam family "Bacterial small subunit ribosomal RNA", at positions 441 to 1125 of the family's 1533-position model. Lineage: Bacteria; Bacillati; Actinomycetota; Actinomycetes; Micrococcales; Micrococcaceae. The record is from RNAcentral.